This is a long non-coding RNA of Danio aesculapii, 858 nucleotides long. RefSeq lists it as uncharacterized. The transcript is spliced from 3 exons. The record is from RefSeq and is a predicted model, not a curated record. NCBI's taxonomy places the organism in Eukaryota, Metazoa, Chordata, Actinopteri, Cypriniformes, Danionidae.
CUGCCCGGAAACGACCACUGUGAGGCGAACAGAAGUACCCGAAGGAAGACGGGGGCACUAAAAAUUGACACGGGGCGGAAAAUAUUUGGCCGACCAUAAUCCGCAAAAACUGAAGCGGAAAACGGACUGUGAAGGGCGGUUUCGUUCGAAGUCUUUCGCCGUGAGUGUUAUCGCGCGAGCCCGAACGUUAGCGAGCGCGGCCAGCGGAAACUGGGGUUUGUUUAACGGAUCGAAAGCGAUGGAGAGGCCUGCGAGAGUGUUUUUCCACGGGAUGAGGAAAAAUGACCUGCUAACCUGAAAUCGGAAACCGCCUUUGUGCACAUCUAGGCUUUCGGCGCCCUUUUCAGCAUUAUUAUUUUCACGCUUUGCUCUUCAAGAGGACUUUCUCCGUGCACGAGCAGAGGGAUGUGACUGGAAAAGGUAUUUCGGCUCUCCCCCUCUCCCUCAUCCCCUUUACGGUCAGCGUAUCCCGGAGAACAAUCCGCGCUUUUCUUACAACAUUUUUGGGACUGACAGGGUGCUCGCUGCAGAGAAAGAAGGAACCUCUUGGUCAUACCACUGUGCUUUGUUCAUGGUCUUCCAGCUGAGGAAUUAAAGACAGAGGUUGGAUAUACCCUGUGGACUAUCUGACAUUUGACUCCUUAAUCUGAAUGAUUGGAAAAAAAGUUGCCCAUCAAAACCUCUUUUUUUAAUGAAGACAUUUUUCUGAAGAAAAAAACAGUGGGACCAUUUUAUUCAGAACUUCUCAAAAGGAAUAUACUAAUAACAAGACAGAAAGACAUUCCCUCUUUGCUUCAAUUUUAACUGGCUUUCAACACUAAGUGAUUUGCUUUUAAUGCUUAACACAUUUUGAUGCAA